Molecule: ribosomal RNA, 497 nt
Filed under: uncultured bacterium
Lineage: Bacteria
Description: partial 16S ribosomal RNA
Rfam family: Bacterial small subunit ribosomal RNA
Source: RNAcentral
GAUGAACGCUGGCGGCGUGCCUAAUACAUGCAAGUCGAGCGAACAGACGAGGAGCUUGCUCCGCUGACGUUAGCGGCGGACGGGUGAGUAACACGUGGAUAACCUACCUAUAAGACUGGGAUAACUUCGGGAAACCGGAGCUAAUACCGGAUAAUAUAUUGAACCGCAUGGUUCAAUAGUGAAAGACGGUUUUGCUGUCACUUAUAGAUGGAUCCGCGCCGCAUUAGCUAGUUGGUAAGGUAACGGCUUACCAAGGCAACGAGGCGUAGCCGACCUGAGAGGGUGAUCGGCCACACUGGAACUGAGACACGGUCCCGACUCCUACGGGAGGCAGCAGUCGGGAAUCUUCCGCAAUGGGCGAAAGCCUGACGGACCAACGCCACGUGGGUGAUGAAGGUCUUCGGCUCGUAAAACUCUGUUAUUAGGCAAGAACAAAUGUGUAAGUAACUAUGCACGUCUUGACGGUACCUAAUCAGAAAGCCACGGCUACCUACGUG